UACGAAGGGGGCUAGCGUUGCUCGGAUUGACUGGGCGUAAAGGGCGCGUAGGUGGCGCACACAGUCAGAUGUGAAAUUCCUGGGCUUAACCUGGGGGCUGCAUUUGAUACGUGUGUGCUUGAGUGCGGAAGAGGGUCGUGGAAUUCCCAGUGUAGAGGUGAAAUUCGUAGAUAUUGGGAAGAACACCGGUGGCGAAGGCGGCGACCUGGUCCGUGACUGACGCUGAGGCGCGAAAGCGUGGGGAGCAAACAGG
RNAcentral lists this ribosomal RNA (253 nucleotides) under uncultured bacterium. RNAcentral's name for it is "partial 16S ribosomal RNA". It matches the Rfam family "Bacterial small subunit ribosomal RNA", at positions 524 to 776 of the family's 1533-position model. The record is from RNAcentral.